UACGUAGGGUGCGAGCGUUGUCCGGAUUUAUUGGGCGUAAAGAGCUCGUAGGCGGUUUGUCGCGUCGGCCGUGAAAUCUCCACGCUUAACGUGGAGCGUGCGGUCGAUACGGGCAGACUUGAGUUCGGUAGGGGAGACUGGAAUUCCUGGUGUAGCGGUGAAAUGCGCAGAUAUCAGGAGGAACACCGGUGGCGAAGGCGGGUCUCUGGGCCGAUACUGACGCUGAGGAGCGAAAGCCAGGGGAGCAAACGGG
RNAcentral lists this ribosomal RNA (253 nucleotides) under uncultured bacterium. RNAcentral's name for it is "partial 16S ribosomal RNA". It matches the Rfam family "Bacterial small subunit ribosomal RNA", at positions 524 to 776 of the family's 1533-position model. The record is from RNAcentral.